CCCAGACUCCUACGGGAGGCAGCAGUGGGGAAUAUUGGGCAAUGGAGGAAACUCUUACCCAGCAAUGCCGCGUGAGUGAAGAAGGUCUUCGGAUUGUAAAGCUCUUUGAUUGGGGAUGAAUAAAUGACGGUACCCAAAGAACAAGCCCUGGCUAACUACGUGCCAGCAGCCGCGGUAAUACGGAGGGUGCGAGCGUUAAUCGGAAUUACUGGGCGUAAAGCGCUCGUAGGCGGUAUGUCAAGUCAAGGGUGAAAUCCCCGCGCUCAACGUGGGAACUGCCUUUGAAACUGGCAAACUGGAGUGUGUGAGAGGAUAGUGGAAUUCCAGGUGUAGGAGUGAAAUCCGUAGAUAUCUGGAGGAACAUCAGUGGCGAAGGCGACUAUCUGGCACAUAACUGACGCUGAGGAGCGAAAGCGUGGGUAGCAAACAGGAUUAGAUACCCUAGUA
RNAcentral lists this ribosomal RNA (447 nucleotides) under uncultured bacterium. RNAcentral's name for it is "bacterial SSU rRNA". It matches the Rfam family "Bacterial small subunit ribosomal RNA", at positions 330 to 792 of the family's 1533-position model. The record is from RNAcentral.